GACGUAGGAUGCAAGCGUUGUCCGGAUUUAUUGGGCGUAAAGAGUUCGUAGGUGGUUUGUUAAGUCUGAUGUUAAAGACCGGGGCUCAACCUCGGAAAUGCAUUGGAUACUGGCAGACUGGAGUGCAGUAGAGGCUAGUGGAAUUCCCAGUGUAGCGGUGAAAUGCGUAGAUAUUGGGAAGAACACCGGUGGCGUAGGCGACUAGCUGGGCUGUAACUGACGCUGAGGAACGAAAGCCAGGGGAGCGAAUGGG
This 253-nucleotide ribosomal RNA is filed under the name uncultured prokaryote. Its description in RNAcentral is "partial 16S ribosomal RNA". It matches the Rfam family "Bacterial small subunit ribosomal RNA", at positions 524 to 776 of the family's 1533-position model. The record is from RNAcentral.